This 21-nucleotide non-coding RNA is filed under the name Caenorhabditis elegans. Lineage: Eukaryota; Metazoa; Nematoda; Chromadorea; Rhabditida; Rhabditidae. The record is from RNAcentral.
UUUAAUGUUCAUAUACUGGAU